UAGUGGCGAACGGGUGAGUAACACGUGGGCAAUCUGCCCUUCACUCUGGGACAAGCCCUGGAAACGGGGUCUAAUACCGGAUAAUACCUGCCUGGGCAUCUGGGUGGGUUGAAAGCUCCGGCGGUGAAGGAUGAGCCCGCGGCCUAUCAGCUUGUUGGUGAGGUAGUGGCUCACCAAGGCGACGACGGGUAGCCGGCCUGAGAGGGCGACCGGCCACACUGGGACUGAGACACGGCCCAGACUCCUACGGGAGGCAGCAGUGGGGAAUAUUGCACAAUGGGCGAAAGCCUGAUGCAGCGACGCCGCGUGAGGGAUGACGGCCUUCGGGUUGUAAACCUCUUUCAGCAGGGAAGAAGCGAAAGUGACGGUACCUGCAGAAGAAGCGCCGGCUAACUACGUGCCAGCAGCCGCGGUAAUACGUAGGGCGCAAGCGUUGUCCGGAAUUAUUGGGCGUAAAGAGCUCGUAGGCGGCUUNGUCACGUCGGGUGUGAAAGCCCGGGGCUUAACCCCGGGUCUGCAUUCGAUACGGGCUAGCUAGAGUGUGGUAGGGGAGAUCGGAAUUCCU
RNAcentral lists this ribosomal RNA (565 nucleotides) under Streptomyces sp. 319A12. Its description in RNAcentral is "bacterial SSU rRNA". It matches the Rfam family "Bacterial small subunit ribosomal RNA", at positions 93 to 671 of the family's 1533-position model. Lineage: Bacteria; Bacillati; Actinomycetota; Actinomycetes; Kitasatosporales; Streptomycetaceae. The record is from RNAcentral.